UAAGACAGAGGUUGCAAACGUUGUUCGGAAUUACUGGGCAUAAAGCGCACGUAGGCGGUCCACUAAGUCAGGUGUGAAAUCCCCCGGCUCAACCGGGGAAUUGCGCCUGAUACUGGUGGGCUUGAGGUCGAUAGGGGUGAGCGGAACUCCAGGUGGAGCGGUGAAAUGCGUAGAUAUCUGGAGGAACACCGGUGGCGAAAGCGGCUCACUGGAUCGAAACUGACGCUGAGGUGCGAAAGCUAGGGUAGCAAACGGGA
RNAcentral lists this ribosomal RNA (257 nucleotides) under uncultured prokaryote. RNAcentral describes it as "partial 16S ribosomal RNA". It matches the Rfam family "Bacterial small subunit ribosomal RNA", at positions 521 to 777 of the family's 1533-position model. The record is from RNAcentral.